CCCUUGUUAGCUAAGUUGGUAGAGCGCUUCUCUGUAAAUGGGGAGGUCUCGGGUUCGAUACCCCGACCAGGCG
This 73-nucleotide transfer RNA is filed under the name Ixodes scapularis (black-legged tick). It matches the Rfam family "tRNA". From Rfam's summary of the family: Transfer RNA (tRNA) molecules are approximately 80 nucleotides in length. Their secondary structure includes four short double-helical elements and three loops (D, anti-codon, and T loops). Further hydrogen bonds mediate the characteristic L-shaped molecular structure. tRNAs have two regions of fundamental functional importance: the anti-codon, which is responsible for specific mRNA codon recognition, and the 3' end, to which the tRNAs corresponding amino acid is attached (by aminoacyl-tRNA synthetases). tRNAs cope with the degeneracy of the genetic code in two manners: having more than one tRNA (with a specific anti-codon) for a particular amino acid; and 'wobble' base-pairing, i.e. permitting non-standard base-pairing at the 3rd anti-codon position. The record is from Rfam by way of RNAcentral. Lineage: Eukaryota; Metazoa; Arthropoda; Arachnida; Ixodida; Ixodidae.